AAUCAACGCUGGCGGCGUGCCUCAGACAUGCAAGUCGAACGCGAAAGUCUCCUUCGGGGGACAAGUAGAGUGGCGCACGGGUGAGUAACACGUAGGUAAUCUACCUUUGGAUGGGGAAUAACAACCGGAAACGGUUGCUAAUACCGCAUAAUGCAGCGGCACCUAAUGGUGACAGUUGUUAAAGCGGGGGAUCGAAAGACCUCGCGUCUGAAGAGGAGCCUGCGGCGGAUUAGCAGUUGGUAAGGUAAUGGCUUACCAAGGCUACGAUCUGUAACCGGUCUAAGAGGACGGUCGGUCACACUGACACUGAAUAACGGGUCAGACUCCUACGGGAGGCAGCAGUCGGGAAUUUUGGGCAAUGGGCGAAAGCCUGACCCAGCAACGCCGCGUGAAGGAUGAAGUAUUUC
This 407-nucleotide ribosomal RNA is filed under the name uncultured bacterium. Its description in RNAcentral is "bacterial SSU rRNA". It matches the Rfam family "Bacterial small subunit ribosomal RNA", at positions 32 to 419 of the family's 1533-position model. The record is from RNAcentral.